UGGAUUAAGAGCUUGCUCUUAUGAAGUUAGCGGCGGACGGGUGAGUAACACGUGGGUAACCUGCCCAUAAGACUGGGAUAACUCCGGGAAACCGGGGCUAAUACCGGAUAACAUUUUGAACCGCAUGGUUCGAAAUUGAAAGGCGGCUUCGGCUGUCACUUAUGGAUGGACCCGCGUCGCAUUAGCUAGUUGGUGAGGUAACGGCUCACCAAGGCAACGAUGCGUAGCCGACCUGAGAGGGUGAUCGGCCACACUGGGACUGAGACACGGCCCAGACUCCUACGGGAGGCAGCAGUAGGGAAUCUUCCGCAAUGGACGAAAGUCUGACGGAGCAACGCCGCGUGAGUGAUGAAGGCUUUCGGGUCGUAAAACUCUGUUGUUAGGGAAGAACAAGUGCUAGUUGAAUAAGCUGGCACCUUGACGGUACCUAACCAGAAAGCCACGGCUAACUACGUGCCAGCAGCCGCGGUAAUACGUAGGUGGCAAGCGUUAUCCGGAAUUAUUGGGCGUAAAGCGCGCGCAGGUGGUUUCUUAAGUCUGAUGUGAAAGCCCACGGCUCAACCGUGGAGGGUCAUUGGAAACUGGGAGACUUGAGUGCAGAAGAGGAAAGUGGAAUUCCA
This 620-nucleotide ribosomal RNA is filed under the name Bacillus cereus. RNAcentral's name for it is "bacterial SSU rRNA". It matches the Rfam family "Bacterial small subunit ribosomal RNA", at positions 68 to 671 of the family's 1533-position model. The record is from RNAcentral. Lineage: Bacteria; Bacillati; Bacillota; Bacilli; Caryophanales; Bacillaceae.